GAGAUUUAUAUUGUUAGUUUUCAAGUUGUCAUUUAUAAAAAAUAACAAAAAUGGAGAGUACAAUUUAUUAGAAUAUUUGGAGUAAAAAAAACUCGUAUCAAAAAUCCAAUUAGAAUACACAGACAAUUCAACAAUUCUCUGAACAUAAACGAGCUUCGAACCUUUCGGAAGGCUCGGCUGGAAAACCUUUUGCCGCCACUACUCCAAUCAGGUUCCUCAGCCAUGUCGCAGCUUCGUAUCUUUUUAUAAACAUAAGAAAAAAAAAUACAAGUCAUAAAAACUCACAUCAAAUAAUAACACAAUUGUUUAAUGCACAUAAGACUAUAUUUCAAUUAACAAUAUAUAAUUCUUUAAUGUACAUGCCAAUUUCCUUCUCCUGCUUUGAAAGCGGCUUCCUAGUGCAAAUUUCCAGUUGAAUGUCGAUCGGUAGUUCGGAAUUUUGAGAUUUUCAGCAUCUGAAUCUUUGAAUGGUUUCUACGAACUUGGACACCUUCUCGAACAACCUUAAAUGUUAUAAAAAAACAUUAGUAGAAUGCUAAAACAACCACAAACUCCAAAUAUGUAAAAUACAAUAUGAACAUAUAAAACAUUCAAUAUAGAGUCAUUGACAUAUGUUCUGGUCUAAUGUGCUUAAUGCCCCGUGCUCACCCUGUCCUCGUAUUUGCACCUGUUCAUAAAUAAAUAAAUUCAUAUAAAACCCAAAAUUUUUAAUUUUUAAUAUCAUACAAGCUAAAUUAAUUACAAUACGAAACAAUAUAAACCAUAUUGUUGCAUUAUCAAACAUAACAACUAACACACACACAAUAAGUUUCUCAACUAUUAAAAUCUUGUAGACUGAAAUCUUAAAAACCCAUAUCCCUAGAGCAAAGAAUUCAUACCAAUAAACACAUGGAAACUCAGGUUCACUAAACUAGGAGUUAUGUUCAUAAACGAAUAGAUAAUAGUUCAUCAUCAACAACACAAUAGACUUUUUAACAAUUGUUACAAAGAAAAUACACACAAUCUGAAGAACAAUAUACCAAAUCUUUAAAUAUUACCAAAUCUUUAAAUAUGCAUAUACCUAAGAAAAAAAACCGUUCAAAGAAACACCACUUACAAAUCAACGACUACUAAUUAUUUGCACGCUAUAAGGUAAAGUCAUUAAAACACUAAAAGAAUUUAAAGAACAAUUUACAGGAAAAGUUGGACGAAUUUUACCAGAUGAAAGUAAAACACAACAGCUGACGAAUUGGUGAAUAACAAGAUUAACAAAUUGAACCCAAAACAAUCGAAAGGAAAAAACAAUCAACGAACCCCAAAUCCCAAAACCAGUAUAGUGCCAAGCGAGAUAAGAUAUUGUGUGCAGAAUAUGGAAAAAUUUACUAAAUCGAAUCGCCAUUUGUUGUGGAAAGCUCGAAAUCUAAGGGAUUUGAUUGUUAAUCUAGUUUCUCUCUGCAAACAAAAUGA
This 1446-nucleotide long non-coding RNA is filed under the name Salvia miltiorrhiza (redroot sage). RNAcentral's name for it is "long non-coding RNA (SMIL_LNC004629)". Lineage: Eukaryota; Viridiplantae; Streptophyta; Magnoliopsida; Lamiales; Lamiaceae. The record is from RNAcentral.